CAAGCAAAACGCAUUUAAGUUUGAAUCCCCGAAACUAAGUGAGCUACUUCGAAACAGUCUUAAGAACGAACCCAUCUCUGUUGCAAUAGAGUGGGAUGAUUUCCAAGUAGAGGCAAUAAACCUACCGCACUUAGAAAUAGCUGGUUGCCCAAGAAAAGAAUUUAAGUUCAACCUUAAGCUUACAAAUUACUUUUAAAAAUUUAUAAAAACUUGAGAGCUAUUCAAAUAAGGCACAGCUUAUUUGAAACAGGAUACAACCUACAAGAUGGGGUAACAUCUAUCAAUAAGUAAUAAGUGGGCCUAAGAGCAGCCACCUCCUAAAAAGCGUUAAAGCUUACUAUGCAUUUAUUAUUAAUACCUAAUUUCAUCCCUAACCCUUCUCUAAUAUUGAGCAAUUUCAUAAAUAUAUGAAAGAUAUAAUGCUAGAACUAGUAACAAGAAAUAAAUUUUCUCCAAAAUGUAAGCCUGAGCCAUAAUAGAUAAACUACUAGCAAUUAACGUGAAUGGAUACAUUAUAGUAACUAAACAAGAAAAUUCUAUAUUUACCAACGUCAACCUUACACUAGAACAUUAAUGGAAAGAUAAAAGAAAAAGAAGGAAUUCGGCAAAAUCUAGCCC
This 618-nucleotide ribosomal RNA is filed under the name Gephyromantis boulengeri. RNAcentral describes it as "partial 16S ribosomal RNA". The stretch from base 1 to 426 matches the Rfam family "Bacterial large subunit ribosomal RNA", at positions 689 to 1300 of the family's 2925-position model. The record is from RNAcentral. Lineage: Eukaryota; Metazoa; Chordata; Amphibia; Anura; Mantellidae.